ACAGGGAUUGCCCUAGUAACGGCGAGUGAAGCGGCAACAGCUCAAAUUUGAAAUCUGGCGUCUUUGGCGUCCGAGGUGUAAUUUGCAGAGGGCGCUUUGGCAUUGGCAGCGGUCCAAGUUCCUUGGAACAGGACGUCACAGAGGGUGAGAAUCCCGUACGUGGUCGCUAGCCUUUACCGUGUAAAGCCCCUUCGACGAGUCGAGUUGUUUGGGAAUGCAGCUCUAAAUGGGAGGUAAAUUUCUUCUAAAGCUAAAUACUGGCCAGAGACCGAUAGCGCACAAGUAGAGUGAUCGAAAGAUGAAAAGCACUUUGGAAAGAGAGUUAAAAAGCACGUGAAAUUGUUGAAAGGGAAGCGCUUGCAGCCAGACUUGCCUGUAGUUGCUCAUCCGGGUUUUUACCCGGUGCACUCUUCUAUAGGCAGGCCAGCAUCAGUUUGGGCGGUUGGAUAAAGGUCUCUGUCAUGUACCUCUCUUCGGGGAGAACUUAUAGGGGAGACGACAUGCAACCAGCCUGGACUGAGGUCCGCGCAUCUGCUAGGAUGCUGGCGUAAUGGCUGUAAGCGGCCCGUCUUGAAACACGGACCAAGGAGUCUAACAUCUAUGCGAGUGUUUGGGUGUCAAGCCCGAGCGCGUAAUGAAAGUGAACGGAGGUGGGAACCCCUCGGGGUGCACCAUCGACCGAUCCUGAUGUCUUCGGAUGGAUUUGAGUAAGAGCAUAGCUGUUGGGACCCGAAAGAUGGUGAACUAUGCUUGAAUAGGGUGAAGCCAGAGGAAACUCUGGUGGAGGCUCGCAGCGGUUCUGACGUGCAAAUCGAUCGUCAAAUUUGGGCAUAGGGGCGAAAGACUAAUCGAAC
This 854-nucleotide ribosomal RNA is filed under the name Juxtiphoma eupyrena. Its description in RNAcentral is "partial large subunit ribosomal RNA". It matches the Rfam family "Eukaryotic large subunit ribosomal RNA", at positions 68 to 940 of the family's 3401-position model. The record is from RNAcentral. Lineage: Eukaryota; Fungi; Ascomycota; Dothideomycetes; Pleosporales; Didymellaceae.